RNAcentral lists this ribosomal RNA (253 nucleotides) under uncultured bacterium. RNAcentral describes it as "partial 16S ribosomal RNA". It matches the Rfam family "Bacterial small subunit ribosomal RNA", at positions 524 to 776 of the family's 1533-position model. The record is from RNAcentral.
UACGUAGGGGGCAAGCGUUGUCCGGAAUCAUUGGGCGUAAAGAGCGUGUAGGCGGCCCGAUAAGUCCGCCGUGAAAGUCCAGGGCUCAACCCUGGAAUGCCGGUGGAAACUGUCGGGCUGGAGUCCGGAAGAGGCGAGUGGAAUUCCUGGUGUAGCGGUGGAAUGCGCAGAUAUCAGGAGGAACACCGAUGGCGAAGGCAGGUCACUGGGCCGCAACUGACGCUGAGGAGCGAAAGCAUGGGGAGCGAACAGG